Molecule: ribosomal RNA, 442 nt
Filed under: uncultured bacterium
Lineage: Bacteria
Description: SSU rRNA
Rfam family: Bacterial small subunit ribosomal RNA
Source: RNAcentral
AGAACGAACGCUGGCGGCAGGCUUAACACAUGCAAGUCGAGCGCCCCGCAAGGGGAGCGGCAGACGGGUGAGUAACGCGUGGGAACAUACCCUCCGGUUCGGAAUAACUCAGGGAAACUUGAGCUAAUACCGGAUACGGUCGAGAGGCGAAAGAUUUAUCGCCGGAGGAUUGGCCCGCGUCCGAUUAGCUAGUUGGUGUGGUAAUGGCGCACCAAGGCGACGAUCGGUAGCUGGUCUGAGAGGAUGAUCAGCCACAUUGGGACUGAGACACGGCCCAAACUCCUACGGGAGGCAGCAGUGGGGAAUAUUGGACAAUGGGCGAAAGCCUGAUCCAGCCAUGCCGCGUGAGUGAUGAAGGCCUUAGGGUUGUAAAGCUCUUUCGCCCACGACGAUAAUGACGGUAGUGGGAGAAGAGCCCGGCUAACUUCGUGCCAGCAGCCGC